AGUGAACGCUGGCGGUAGGCCUAACACAUGCAAGUCGAACGGCAGCACAGUAAGAGCUUGCUCUUACGGGUGGCGAGUGGCGGACGGGUGAGGAAUACAUCGGAAUCUGCUUUUUCGUGGGGGAUAACGUAGGGAAACUUACGCUAAUACCGCAUACGACCUACGGGUGAAAGCAGGGGAUCUUCGGACCUUGCGCGAUUGAAUGAGCCGAUGUCGGAUUAGCUAGUUGGCGGGGUAAAGGCCCACCAAGGCGACGAUCCGUAGCUGGUCUGAGAGGAUGAUCAGCCACACUGGAACUGAGACACGGUCCAGACUCCUACGGGAGGCAGCAGUGGGGAAUAUUGGACAAUGGGCGCAAGCCUGACCCAGCCAUACCGCGUGGGUGAAGAAGGUCUUCGGGUUGUAAAGCCCUUUUGUUGGGAAAGAAAAGCAGCAGGUUAAUACCUCGCUGUUCUGACGGUACCCAAAGAAUAAGCACCGGCUAACCUCGUG
RNAcentral lists this ribosomal RNA (492 nucleotides) under uncultured bacterium. RNAcentral's name for it is "partial 16S ribosomal RNA". It matches the Rfam family "Bacterial small subunit ribosomal RNA", at positions 29 to 507 of the family's 1533-position model. The record is from RNAcentral.